RNAcentral lists this transfer RNA (71 nucleotides) under Loxodonta africana (African savanna elephant). It matches the Rfam family "tRNA". From Rfam's summary of the family: Transfer RNA (tRNA) molecules are approximately 80 nucleotides in length. Their secondary structure includes four short double-helical elements and three loops (D, anti-codon, and T loops). Further hydrogen bonds mediate the characteristic L-shaped molecular structure. tRNAs have two regions of fundamental functional importance: the anti-codon, which is responsible for specific mRNA codon recognition, and the 3' end, to which the tRNAs corresponding amino acid is attached (by aminoacyl-tRNA synthetases). tRNAs cope with the degeneracy of the genetic code in two manners: having more than one tRNA (with a specific anti-codon) for a particular amino acid; and 'wobble' base-pairing, i.e. permitting non-standard base-pairing at the 3rd anti-codon position. Lineage: Eukaryota; Metazoa; Chordata; Mammalia; Proboscidea; Elephantidae. The record is from Rfam by way of RNAcentral.
ACAGUGGUAGUUCAGUGGCAGAAUUCUCACCUUCCAUGCUAGAGACCCAGUUUCGAUUUCUGGCCAGUGCA